This 1186-nucleotide long non-coding RNA is filed under the name Bos taurus (domestic cattle). RNAcentral's name for it is "long non-coding RNA NONBTAT001914". The record is from RNAcentral. Lineage: Eukaryota; Metazoa; Chordata; Mammalia; Artiodactyla; Bovidae.
GAAACAAGUUAAGCUCUACUAUCUGUGCCUACUAAAGGAGCACCUUACUCUCUAUUACGCGGAGAAACAUUUGGGGAGUUCCCAGGCAAGGACCCUGUAGAAAUGCUGCUAUACUUCAAGUGCCCCUUCUUGAUCAUAAUUGGAAUAUUGCUAUUGUUUGGUAUAAUAUUUAAUAAAAAGACAGUAAAUUUUAGGUCUCAAGUCAAUGAAGGAAGAGGCCAUGAAAAUAGCUGUACUAAAGCAGUAAGAUUCUAUGAUUUCUUACUCCUCUUAUAAAUAUUUUCUUUAAUGUUGUCAUUUUUUUUACAAAUUAAAAAAAAAUCAGUAUUGUGCUGAUCCCCACCCUCCACCAAUGUAUCUCUGCCCACCUCCCCCCACCGCCGCUGAUCAUGAGAACAUUUACCUGAAGGUCAUCAUCAGACCCUGAACUGCUGACAGGAUAGAGGGAGUACCUGUGGAACUGCCCGCUCAGUUCCAAUGCCCAAAGUCACUGCUCCUCCUCCUCAUUGCCCUUUACCUGUCCCACCCUGCUCCAGGCCAGGCUCCUCUGGCCUGCUUGUGUUCUCUGUACACCACCAGGGGGCGGGAAAAUGCCUGGACUGAUUUCCUGGCUCUAGUUAUCUUUGGGUACAAAGAGUCGGCCCGUGCUGCUCUCUGAAAUCUCCUAAGGAUGCAAAGCCUCCCCAGUAGGAAUAAAGUGAAGGAGCAAAUGGAGGCUGAGAAGACAUUCAGCUCGCCCUCUCUCGGGCAGGAGUUGGGGCAGUGUGCCAGGUGUCCCUCACUUCUUAGAAACGUGGUGUUUUGAGGUGUACCUCAGUGGAUCAGUGUAGGGAUAGGAUAGUGGAGGACUUGGGAGCCUGGUUGCUCCAUAGCACUAGAGAUGAGGGACAUAGCAAGGGGUGAGGAAAGCUGAAAGAUACUGGGGAAAGGUGAAAAAAGGAUUAUAUGAUACAGAUUGAAUUUAAUUUAUAUCAGUGUAGAUGAACAUACCUAGUGGCAACAUUGCUAGCUCUCUAAAGUUUAGAUUUUUAUAGUUUUUGUCAAUAUCACUUAUCAAUCAGUACAGGCUGUGAAAAUUGUAUUUCAUGUACUUUUUUUCCUACUAAGAAAGAAAAUAAGUAGGAAUUGUCUUUGUCUUAAAAUCAUUCCGUUUUUCCUUUAUAAAUAAACUUUGAAAGUUUGAAAA